This 484-nucleotide ribosomal RNA is filed under the name uncultured bacterium. RNAcentral describes it as "bacterial SSU rRNA". It matches the Rfam family "Bacterial small subunit ribosomal RNA", at positions 28 to 511 of the family's 1533-position model. The record is from RNAcentral.
GAUGAACGCUAGCGGCAGGCUUAACACAUGCAAGUCGAGGGGCAGCACGGUAGCAAUACUGGUGGCGACCGGCAAACGGGUGCGGAACACGUACAGAACCUACCUUGAUCUGGGGCAUAGCCCGAAGAAAUUCGGAUUAACUCCCCAUAAUAUAAUUGGAUGGCAUCAUUUGGUUAUUAAAAUUUAUUGGAUCGAGAUGGCUGUGCGUCCCAUUAGCUAGUUGGUAGGGUAACGGCCUACCAAGGCGACGAUGGGUAGCUGGUGUGAGAGCACGACCAGCCACACGGGCACUGAGACACGGGCCCGACUCCUACGGGAGGCAGCAGUGAGGAAUAUUGGUCAAUGGACGCAAGUCUGAACCAGCCAUGCCGCGUGAAGGAUGAAGGCCUUCUGGGUUGUAAACUUCUUUACCUGGGAAGAAACCUCAGUUUUCUAACUGAGUUGACGGUACCAGAGGAAUAAGCACCGGCUAACUCCGUGCCAG